This 693-nucleotide long non-coding RNA is filed under the name Equus caballus (horse). RNAcentral's name for it is "lncRNA (ENSECAG00000044118.1)". The record is from RNAcentral. Lineage: Eukaryota; Metazoa; Chordata; Mammalia; Perissodactyla; Equidae.
CUUCCCUCUCACUGAAUACACGACAGAAAUGAGGCACCAAGGAAAAAGCUAUAUCCCUUCGCUAGCCACAGCAGCUCCCCAGCUGCAAAGGUGAAGUUUGAGUGGCUCAAGAAGGUCAUGGGAAUCCUCUGGUCUGUACAGCUGCUCCUCUGAGAUGGAGCAUGCCAACUGGCCACAGGGCCAGAGCAUUUGUACGUCUGCAUGACCAUGCUGCUCUCACUUGGCCAUUCAUCAAGGGGAAAGCAUCAACGAACCCCAGGGGGAGGCCUCUGCUGCAGCUGAGAAAAAAUCUCUUCCUUUAAGUUUCCUCACCUCUGCUUCAAUUCCAGCCAUGAACAGAAUGGGGUCUCAAGGAGGAAUUGUCAUUGUGAGAGUCAGGGAGACCCUGUUCUGCAAACACAAAAUCCCUCAGCACUCGAAACCACUGGCUACACGCACAGACACCCACCGUCGCGCUCAGCGUUUGGCUCCUUCUGCCGCGUCUGCGGCAGCUUGGCAGUUCUCAUAUCUGAUGGAUUAGUGCUGAUCUGCACUGAUUGCUCACACCUGCAAUUCAAACUAACCCCUGUUCCGCUUUGUGCAAUCAGCCAUGCCCAGGUAAGACCAUCAGCUUCCCAAAUGACAGGCAAACAGAGACCCACCUGACAGGUCCGACCAGACACCUGUGAGAUCUGCAAAGUGGGAAGGAAGGGG